UACGUAGGGUGCAGGCGUUAAUCGGAAUUACUGGGCGUAAAGCGUGCGCAGGCGGUCUUUUAAGUCAGAUGUGAAAUCCCCGGGCUUAACCUGGGAACUGCAUUUGUGACUGCAUGGCUGGAGUGCGGCAGAGGGGGAUGGAAUUCCGCGUGUAGCAGUGAAAUGCGUAGAUAUGCGGAGGAACACCGAUGGCGAAGGCAAUCCCCUGGGCCUGCACUGACGCUCAUGCACGAAAGCGUGGGGAGCAAACAGG
RNAcentral lists this ribosomal RNA (253 nucleotides) under uncultured bacterium. RNAcentral's name for it is "partial 16S ribosomal RNA". It matches the Rfam family "Bacterial small subunit ribosomal RNA", at positions 524 to 776 of the family's 1533-position model. The record is from RNAcentral.